RNAcentral lists this ribosomal RNA (491 nucleotides) under uncultured Glomus. Its description in RNAcentral is "SSU rRNA". It matches the Rfam family "Eukaryotic small subunit ribosomal RNA", at positions 569 to 1064 of the family's 1831-position model. The record is from RNAcentral. Lineage: Eukaryota; Fungi; Glomeromycota; Glomeromycetes; Glomerales; Glomeraceae.
AGCAGCCGCGGUAAUUCCAGCUCCAAUAGCGUAUAUUAAAGUUGUUGCAGUUAAAAAGCUCGUAGUUGAAUUUCGGGGUCAGUAGGUCGGUCGUGCCACUGGUAUGAACUGGUUUUACUGAUUCCUCCCUCUUGAAGAACUGUAAUGCCAUUAAUUUGGUGUUGCAGGGAAUCAGGACUGUUACUUUGAAAAAAUUAGAGUGUUUAAAGCAGGCUUUAGCUUGAAUACAUUAGCAUGGAAUAAUGAAAUAGGACGUUUGAUCCUAUUUUGUUGGUUUCUAGGAUUGACGUAAUGAUUAAUAGGGAUAGUUGGGGGCAUUAGUAUUCAAUUGUCAGAGGUGAAAUUCUUGGAUUUAUUGAAGACUAACUACUGCGAAAGCAUUUGCCAAGGAUGUUUUCAUUAAUCAAGAACGAAAGUUAGGGGAUCGAAGACGAUCAGAUACCGUCGUAGUCUUAACCAUAAACUAUGCCGACUAGGGAUCGGAUGAUGUU